Molecule: ribosomal RNA, 253 nt
Filed under: uncultured bacterium
Lineage: Bacteria
Description: partial 16S ribosomal RNA
Rfam family: Bacterial small subunit ribosomal RNA
Source: RNAcentral
UACGGAGGGGGCUAGCGUUGUUCGGAAUUACUGGGCGUAAAGCGCGCGUAGGCGGCUUUGUAAGUUAGAGGUGAAAGCCCGGAGCUCAACUCCGGAACUGCCUUUAAGACUGCAUCGCUAGAAUUGUGGAGAGGUGAGUGGAAUUCCGAGUGUAGAGGUGAAAUUCGUAGAUAUUCGCAAGAACACCCGUGGCGAAGGCGGCUCUCUGGGACGGUACUGACGCUGAGACGCGAAAGCGUGGGGAGCGAACAGG